CGGACGGGUGAGUAACGCGUGAGCAACCUGCCUGUCUGAGCGGGAUAACACAUGGAAACGUGUGCUAAUACCGCAUGAAGUACAUCAGCAGCAUUGCAGAUGUAUGAAAGAUUUAUCGCAGACAGAUGGGCUCGCGUCUGAUUAGCUGGUUGGAGAGGUAACGGCUCACCAAGGCGACGAUCAGUAGCCGGACUGAGAGGUUGAACGGCCACAUUGGAACUGAGAUACGGUCCAGACUCC
Molecule: ribosomal RNA, 240 nt
Filed under: uncultured Eubacteriales bacterium
Lineage: Bacteria; Bacillati; Bacillota; Clostridia; Eubacteriales
Description: uncultured Clostridiales bacterium partial 16S ribosomal RNA
Rfam family: Bacterial small subunit ribosomal RNA
Source: RNAcentral